Molecule: ribosomal RNA, 1050 nt
Filed under: uncultured bacterium
Lineage: Bacteria
Description: bacterial SSU rRNA
Rfam family: Bacterial small subunit ribosomal RNA
Source: RNAcentral
ACACGUACCUAACCUACCUUUAAGACUGGGAUAACUAUUGGAAACAAUAGCUAAUACCGGAUAUAGUUAUUUAUCGCAUGAUGAGUAAUAGAAAGGAGCUUCACAGCUUCACUUAAAAAUGGGGGUGCGGAACAUUAGUUAGUUGGUAGGGUAAUGGCCUACCAAGACGAUGAUGUUUAGCCGGGCCGAGAGGCUGUACGGCCACACUGGGACUGAGAUACGGCCCAGACUCCUACGGGAGGCAGCAGUAAGGAAUUUUCCACAAUGAGCGAAAGCUUGAUGGAGCGACACAGCGUGCAGGAUGAAGUUCUUCGGAAUGUAAACUGCUGUUAUAAGGGAAGAAAAAAUAGAAUAGGAAAUGAUUUUAUCUUGACGGUACCUUAUUAGAAAGCGACGGCAAACUAUGUGCCAGCAGCCGCGGUAAUACAUAGGUCGCAAGCGUUAUCCGGAAUUAUUGGGCGUAAAGCGUCCGUAGGUUUUUUGCUAAGUCUGGAGUUAAAUGCUGAAGCUCAACUUCAGUCCGCUUUGGAUACUGGCAAAAUAGAAUUAUAAAGAGGUUAGCGGAAUUCCUAGUGAAGCGGUGGAAUGCGUAGAUAUUAGGAAGAACACCAAUAGGCGAAGGCAGCUAACUGGUUAUAUAUUGACACUAAGGGACGAAAGCGUGGGGAGCAAACAGGAUUAGAUACCCUGGUAGUCCACGCCGUAAACGAUGAUCAUUAGUUGGUGGAAUAAUUUCACUAACGCAGCUAACGCGUUAAAUGAUCCGCCUGAGUAGUAUGCUCGCAAGAGUGAAACUUAAAGGAAUUGACGGGAACCCGCACAAGCGGUGGAGCAUGUGGUUUAAUUUGAAGAUACGCGUAGAACCUUACCCACUCUUGACAUCUUCUGCAAAGCUAUAGAGAUAUAGUGGAGGUUAACAGAAUGACAGAUGGUGCAUGGUUGUCGUCAGCUCGUGUCGUGAGAUGUUAGGUUAAGUCCUGCAACGAGCGCAACCCUUUUCUUUAGUUACUAAUAUUAAGUUAAGGACUCUAGAGAUACUGCCUGGGUAAC